CCAGUCACAGUGAGGCUGCUGAGAAAAAGAAAUCCAAUUUUUCCAUGUUUCCUCUCACUUUAUUGAACCCAGGUGAUGCCCUCUGCUGCAUUCCAGUACAGCACAAAACUCUCACUCACGAAGACUCCUUAAGCUAGGACCAGCCUCCAGAAAAAAGGAGGCAAAUUUCUUUUCCACUCUCUGUCAUUUUGCUGAAGUGGCACAAAAUAAAAACAGAGUUCAUACUCUUUCUUAUAGCAGGAUAUAAUCACCUGAACGUCAGAAUUUAAGGAUUUCCACAAUCAGCGAAGGCACCUCUGAAACAUGGGUCCCAAACACUUGGCUGUUGGAAGUAACAGGCCCCUUCCAACCAACUGAUUCCUCAUACCGGCAAAUCAGCAAGCCAACAUUGAACAAUCAUUUUUCCAGCAAUGUUAAAGCACAUUGAAGAUGGAAAACAGAACGUAUUCUUUGUUCUAAAGAUGUUCAUGAGUUUGUAUGCAAUGACUUGCAGUGGACAAUAUGUGCACUUGAGUGUCAGGUAAGCACCAAUCUAUGCUUAGGAUCUUGUAUUUUGAAAAAGGCUUCUUGCUAAUGGAAACUACAGCAAGUCAACCAAUUGUCCAACUUCAGUUUGAAUGGGAAACUGAACAUUUUGAAAGAGAUUGGAAGAUUCUAAGAUUAUUUCCCUCUGUGUGGGGCAGGGGAUGGAACAGACAUCUGGAUGGAACUCUCACACAUGAAAAACACACACCAAUGUGGUGGUGUCUGAAGAGGCGGAUCAAUAGUAGUUAAGAGGCUGAGGAAGUUUAUAACUUUAGUCAGUUAACAUUCUGAACCUCAUCAAAUUUUAUACAAUUAGAUAUAACUGUCAAUGAAGAAAAGACUUGCCAUAAGAUGAUACAGAUGAAAACACACAAACCAGGAG
Long non-coding RNA from Ochotona princeps (American pika), 907 nucleotides. RefSeq lists it as uncharacterized. NCBI's taxonomy places the organism in Eukaryota, Metazoa, Chordata, Mammalia, Lagomorpha, Ochotonidae. The record is from RefSeq and is a predicted model, not a curated record. The transcript is spliced from 2 exons.